RNAcentral lists this ribosomal RNA (1365 nucleotides) under Ogmogaster antarctica. RNAcentral's name for it is "eukaryotic LSU rRNA". It matches the Rfam family "Eukaryotic large subunit ribosomal RNA", at positions 1 to 944 of the family's 3401-position model. Lineage: Eukaryota; Metazoa; Platyhelminthes; Trematoda; Plagiorchiida; Notocotylidae. The record is from RNAcentral.
UGACCUCGGAUCAGACGUGAAUACCCGCUGAACUUAAGCAUAUCACUAAGCGGAGGAAAAGAAACUAACAAGGAUUCCCUUAGUAACUGCGAGUGAACAGGGAAUAGCCCAGCACCGAAGCCUGUGGUCAUUUGAUCACUAGGCAAUGUGGUGUUUAGGUUAUCUCGCAGAAGCACUGCUCCACCCUAAGUCCAAAAAUGAGUACGGUAGUACGGACAUGGCCCAUAGAGGGUGAAAGGCCCGUGGGGGUGGAGAUCAGGCAGGCCAGUGCUUCUCUGAGCAAACCUUUGAGUCGGGUUGUUUGAGAUUGCAGCCCAAAGUGGGUGGUAAACUCCAUCCAAGGCUAAAUACGUGCACGAGUCCGAUAGCGAACAAGUACCGUGAGGGAACGUUGAAAAGUACUUUGAAGAGAGAGUAAACAGUGCGUGAAACCGCUCAGAGGUAAACGGGUGGAGUUGAACUGCGAACCCUGAGAAUUCAACUGGUGAGUGUGGUAUGAGCUUGGCAUAAUGGUUGGCUCUGCGGGUCUGCUUAGUUGCAGGUCUUCGCCUUUUGGUGGAGAUGCGCGAUACACUUGUCAAGUGGUGCGCGCUCGUUGGGUAACUCGGACAUACUCGCCAGUGCACUUUCUCGGGGUGUUCACCACGACCGGCGCCGCUACUUGUCUAAUAUGGUUAAACCGGUCUUGCUUGGUCCUUGUGGCUUUGCUUGAUCGGGACGGCAGGUAACUCGUUGACUUGUGUGUUGGCCUCGGUUGACAUGCGCUUGGUUUUCGAGUGUAAUCAGCUGACCGUGUUGGUGCUAUGUAGUGCGUCGGAGACGGCGGCUUGUGGUGUGUGCCUGCGUGACUAUUUGCUGACGGAACCGGGUUUGGUUAUUAUGUAGCCUGUUCUGCAGGCCUGGUGAUGGCCCGGUUUCGCUUGGUGAAUGGGAGCGUGUGUGACACUUAUCAGGGCCUAUAGUCUGUGGUGUUGUGGUAGACUAUCCACCUGACCCGUCUUGAAACACGGACCAAGGAGAGUAACAUAUGCGCGAGUCAUGGGGUGUUACGAAACCCAAAGGCGAAGUGAAAGUAAAGACUUGACUUGUUCGAGUUGAGGUGAGAUCCUGUCGUUUCUCAUGCGCGGUACUUCCAAGCACUCGAGCGACAGGCGCAUCACCGGCCCGUCCCAUGGUGUGGUCAAUGUCUUCGGAUUGGUGCAUCACCGGGGGGAGCAUGAGCGUACAUGUUGAGACCCGAAAGAUGGUGAACUAUGCUUGCGCAGGUUGAAGCCAGAGGAAACUCUGGUGGAGGACCGUAGCGAUUCUGACGUGCAAAUCGAUCGUCAAACGUGAGUAUAGGGGCGAAAGACUAAUCGAACCAUC